RNAcentral lists this small RNA (152 nucleotides) under Ancylostoma caninum (dog hookworm). RNAcentral's name for it is "Nuclear RNase P". The record is from RNAcentral. Lineage: Eukaryota; Metazoa; Nematoda; Chromadorea; Rhabditida; Ancylostomatidae.
AGUCUGAAUUGUGUUACACAGGGCGAUCGCACUCAGACACUGCUGGUCGAGGCUGUCUUCAAACCCCGCAGGGGACAUUUUCUGUUACAGCCUCCCAUUCUCACGAAUGGGGUCCUUCUCAAACCCAGAUGACCUUUUCUCAGACCGUUCCC